Molecule: ribosomal RNA, 692 nt
Filed under: Aliarcobacter butzleri
Lineage: Bacteria; Pseudomonadati; Campylobacterota; Epsilonproteobacteria; Campylobacterales; Arcobacteraceae
Description: partial 23S ribosomal RNA
Rfam family: Bacterial large subunit ribosomal RNA
Source: RNAcentral
UACAUCUAAGUGGAAAACGAUGUGGAGUUACUGUGACAACCAGGAGGUUGGCUUAGAAGCAGCCAUCCUUUAAAGAAAGCGUAACAGCUCACUGGUCUAGUGAUUCUGCGCGGAAAAUAUAACGGGGCUAAGAUGUACACCGAAGCUUUAGAUUCAAUUUUUAAUUGAGUGGUAGGAGAGCGUUCUAUUCAGCGUAGAAGAUGUACCGGUAAGGAGCGUUGGAGCGGAUAGAAGUGAGCAUGCAGGCAUGAGUAGCGAUAAUUGAGGUGAGAAUCCUCAACGCCGAAAACCCAAGGUUUCCUACGCGAUGCUCGUCAUCGUAGGGUUAGUCGGGACCUAAGUCGAGUCCGAAAGGGGUAGACGAUGGCAAAUUGAUUAAUAUUUCAAUACCAACAUAUAAGCGCGAUGUGGGGACGCAUAGAGUUAAUCGAGGUCACUGAUGGAAUAGUGGCUCGAAGGACGUAGGCUGUUAAGUAGGCAAAUCCGCUUAACAUUAGGCCGAGAUCUUACAGGCUCUUGACACUCUUCGGAGGAGAUGGAGAAUCGAUGAUACUGUCGUGCCAAGAAAAGCCACUAAGUUUAUUAUAUGUUGCCCGUACCGUAAACCGACACAGGUGGGUGGGAUGAGUAUUCUAAGGCGCGUGGAAGAACCCUGGUUAAGGAACUCUGCAAACUAGCACCGUAUCUUCGGU